GCUUCUACUGUAUAUGCCAAUGUUUAUUGCUGAUUUCAAAGUCAUCAACUAGUUUCAAAUUUUUAACACCCAUAGGAAAAAAGUGAACUGCCUCUUUGGUGUGGUUGGUCUUCGGAACAACAUCCAUAGAACGGCUACGUCGUGUGUCAGCACUAAAACUACGGAUCGGCUUGUCGGUUUAGAACUCAAUUACAUAAUUAAAUGGUCUUUCGUUCUGAAAGUGCAUGUAGUAUUUGUGACGGAACUUCACGCAUGCGUUAAACAACU
This 267-nucleotide long non-coding RNA is filed under the name Mytilus galloprovincialis (Mediterranean mussel). The record is from RNAcentral. Lineage: Eukaryota; Metazoa; Mollusca; Bivalvia; Mytilida; Mytilidae.